GAACUUUCUGUGUGCUCUGUGCUGCAGACAGACAAGUGAAGCCAUGUGCACUCAGGCCGGUGCCAAAUUCAAGAUCAAAUUCAAGAUCAUAGAACAGAUACAGAUGGACAUCAUAUUAUAUUUUUGUUGUUCUGUCAACAUUAUUGUGCAUCUGCAUUAUACUUGUACCCUAGCCCUAUACUAUAAGUUAUUCUCUGGUUUAUUACAAUGUCAUAUUUAAAAUGUUUUAAUACCUGGAAAAUUUGAAGCCUAAUAAAAGUUUAAAUUAC
Molecule: long non-coding RNA, 269 nt
Organism: Bombina bombina (fire-bellied toad)
Lineage: Eukaryota; Metazoa; Chordata; Amphibia; Anura; Bombinatoridae
Exons: 2
Source: RefSeq, a predicted model, not a curated record